Long non-coding RNA from Vigna angularis (adzuki bean), 587 nucleotides. RefSeq lists it as uncharacterized. The record is from RefSeq and is a predicted model, not a curated record. The transcript is spliced from 5 exons. NCBI's taxonomy places the organism in Eukaryota, Viridiplantae, Streptophyta, Magnoliopsida, Fabales, Fabaceae.
AUACUUUUCAGUAACAAUAGGCUCCAGGACCAUAAUGACCGAACCUUGUGCAGUGAGAAUUUGGUUGAUGAGGCUUCAAAGAGAAAGAGUGGAGACAAUUUGUCUGCAGUUGUGAUUUGCUUCCAGCAGCAAUCUCCUCGCAACAUGGUGGCCCCUCGGUCUAGAGUGCACUGGAGCUUCUCUACUUAAGGUUUGAAGGAGUUGCAGAGUUUCCUUGAUAACUUGGGAUCUUGUGGAACUGUGUAUCAUGCUUUGUGGUAUGGAUCGGUUGUUGAGUAUCGUGGUGUGAAUGUAAGGCGUAGUGUUACUGAUCUGAUAUGAAGGAAGCAAAAUAUCGUUCGAAAGGCAAAGAUUGCUAUUUAGGUACUUCUUGGUCUUGAUGUACUUACAGGUUCAUCAGUGGCUGUUUUGGUCUUGGAGUUGUUGGGUUAGCUGUAGCAACUUUAUAGAUUAUUUGAAAGGUUGAUCUUUGGAGGUUACAUAGAUUAUUUAACUACGAGGCAAGUUUGUCAUGCUUUCUUUUUGGAAAAUUAUCAUUCUUAGUAUAAUAUUAGUUUAUUAAUUUGAUGUCCCAAUUCUUUUUCUUG